GGAAAAGAAACCAACAGGGAUUGCCUCAGUAACGGCGAGUGAAGCGGCAAAAGCUCAAAUUUGAAAUCCCCCGGGAAUUGUAAUUUGAAGGACCUAUUAAAACCCUGAGAGAGCCCAAAGUCCAUUGGAAAAUGGCGCCAUAGAAGGUGAUAGCCCUGUGUGGACCUCUCUCAGCAUACUUUUUAGGCCCAAAGAGUCGAGUUGUUUGGGAAUGCAGCUCUAAGUGGGUGGUAAAUUCCAUCUAAAGCUAAAUAUUGGCGAGAGACCGAUAGCGAACAAGUACAGUGAUGGAAAGAUGAAAAGCACUUUGAAAAGAGAGUGAAAAAGUACGUGAAAUUGUUGAAAGGGAAGGGCUUGCAAGCAGACACAACCUCGGUUGGGCCAGCAUCGGGGCGGGGGGAAACAAAAAAGGUGUGGAAUGUGGCUCUUACGAGUGUUAUAGCCCCACCCAAUAUUUCCAUCCCAUCCCGAGGCCUGCGAUUCUUCAAGGAUGCUGGCGUAAUGGUUGCAAGUC
Molecule: ribosomal RNA, 514 nt
Filed under: Metschnikowia rancensis
Lineage: Eukaryota; Fungi; Ascomycota; Pichiomycetes; Serinales; Metschnikowiaceae
Description: partial large subunit ribosomal RNA
Rfam family: Eukaryotic large subunit ribosomal RNA
Source: RNAcentral